RNAcentral lists this ribosomal RNA (507 nucleotides) under Fusarium oxysporum. RNAcentral describes it as "eukaryotic LSU rRNA". The stretch from base 134 to 287 matches the Rfam family "5.8S ribosomal RNA". Lineage: Eukaryota; Fungi; Ascomycota; Sordariomycetes; Hypocreales; Nectriaceae. The record is from RNAcentral.
GCGGAAUGACGGUGGGAGGAGAAUUCCGUUGGUAAUAAGCGGAUGAGAUUCCGUAGAACCGGAAGAGCCUUCCAAAGGACCCCUAAACUCUGUUUCUAUAUGUAACUUCUGAGUAAAACCAUAAAUAAAUCAAAACUUUCAACAACGGAUCUCUUGGUUCUGGCAUCGAUGAAGAACGCAGCAAAAUGCGAUAAGUAAUGUGAAUUGCAGAAUUCAGUGAAUCAUCGAAUCUUUGAACGCACAUUGCGCCCGCCAGUAUUCUGGCGGGCAUGCCUGUUCGAGCGUCAUUUCAACCCUCAAGCACAGCUUGGUGUUGGGACUCGCGUUAAUUCGCGUUCCUCAAAUUGAUUGGCGGUCACGUCGAGCUUCCAUAGCGUAGUAGUAAAACCCUCGUUACUGGUAAUCGUCGCGGCCACGCCGUUAAACCCCAACUUCUGAAUGUUGACCUCGGAUCAGGUAGGAAUACCCGCUGAACUUAAGCAUAUCAAUAAGCGGAGGAAAUUCGAA